GAUGAACGCUGGCGGCGUGCCUAAUACAUGCCAGUCGAGCGAACGGACGAGAAGCUUGCUUCUCUGAUGUUAGCGGCGGACGGGUGAGUAACACGUGGAUAACCUACCUAUAAGACUGGGAUAACUUCGGGAAACCGGAGCUAAUACCGGAUAAUAUUUUGAACCGCAUGGUUCAAAAGUGAAAGACGGUCUUGCUGUCACUUAUAGAUGGAUCCGCGCUGCAUUAGCUAGUUGGUAAGGUAACGGCUUACCAAGGCAACGAUGCAUAGCCGACCUGAGAGGGGGAACGGCCAACAUGGAAACGAGGCACCGUUCCAGAGCCUACGGGAGGCAGCAGUAGGGAAUCUUCCGCAAUGGGCGAAAGCCUGACGGAGCAACGCCGCGUGAGUGAUGAAGGUCUUCGGAUCGUAAAACUCUGUUAUUAGGGAAGAACAUAUGUGUAAGUAACUGUGCACAUCUUGACGGUACCUAAUCAGAAAGCCACGGCUAACUACGUG
Molecule: ribosomal RNA, 497 nt
Filed under: uncultured bacterium
Lineage: Bacteria
Description: partial 16S ribosomal RNA
Rfam family: Bacterial small subunit ribosomal RNA
Source: RNAcentral